UAAAGAGUUCUAUAACUCCCAAACCCAUGUGAACAUACCUAACGUUGCCUCGGCAGGUCGCACCUACCUUGUAGCACCCUACCCUGUAGGGCCUACCCGGGAGGUGCGGGUAAGCCUGCCGGCGGCCCACCAAACUCUGUUUGAUAUUGAAUUCUGAACCUAUAACUAAAUAAGUUAAAACUUUCAACAACGGAUCUCUUGGUUCUGGCAUCGAUGAAGAACGCAGCGAAAUGCGAUAAGUAAUGUGAAUUGCAGAAUUCAGUGAAUCAUCGAAUCUUUGAACGCAUAUUGCGCCCAUUAGUAUUCUAGUGGGCAGGACCGUUCGAGCGUCAUUUCAACCCUUAAGCCUUCGUUGCUUAGUGUUGGGAGCCUACGGCAACGUAGCUCCUCAAAGUUAGUGGCGGAGUUGGUUCACACUCUAGACGUAGUAAUUUUUUAUCUCGCCUAUUAGUUGGACUAAUCCCCUGCCGUAAAACCCCCAAUUUAUCAAGGUUGACCUCGAAUCGGUUCAGACAAACUCGCUAAAUUGAAGCAUCUUAGUCAGCGAAGGAAAAGAAACCAACAGGGAUUGCCCUAGUAACGGCGAGUGAAGCGGCAACAGCUCAAAUUUGAA
Molecule: ribosomal RNA, 613 nt
Filed under: fungal endophyte
Lineage: Eukaryota; Fungi
Description: eukaryotic LSU rRNA
Rfam family: 5.8S ribosomal RNA (bases 179-332)
Source: RNAcentral